GGUUUGCUGGUAUCUGUUCUCCCUCCUGGUGAAGUUGAGCAACAAGUGAAUCCAGUGACGGAGCUGAAUGUCUCGUGUAUAAGCUCUGUUCCUAUAUACGUGACUAUAACUUGCCGUUCCGCUUAGAAGUGUGGCAGUAAAGCUUGUAUAGGUGCAGUCCUACUUUGUGAGCUGCUUCUGUACACAGCUCUUCAAUGAACGUCCAGUGACAGCAGAUGGUCAGUUCUGUGGUCUCAACAUUCCAGCAAUCAUGAACGAAAUGCCAGAGGCUUCUAUGGAUACUGGACAACUAAUCUAACCG
Long non-coding RNA from Pseudophryne corroboree (corroboree frog), 301 nucleotides. RefSeq lists it as uncharacterized. The transcript is spliced from 3 exons. The record is from RefSeq and is a predicted model, not a curated record. NCBI's taxonomy places the organism in Eukaryota, Metazoa, Chordata, Amphibia, Anura, Myobatrachidae.